GAAUCUAGGCAGUUUGAUGGGGUUAGUGGAAGUGAGGGACCAUCUCAACCUUCAGUUACACCAGAGGAAGAUCAUGACUCUGCAAAGGACAUCUCUGAAAAAGAUUUAGACUCAACUAUGUCAGUCACUGUUCAUCAACCACCAGCUCCCAGUGUAAAAGGGAAAAAGCAAAAGGGGAAGAAUUCUCAAGUGUCUGGCCCA
This 201-nucleotide unclassified non-coding RNA is filed under the name Hevea brasiliensis (rubber tree). Lineage: Eukaryota; Viridiplantae; Streptophyta; Magnoliopsida; Malpighiales; Euphorbiaceae. The record is from RNAcentral.